AGUGAACGCUGGCGGUAGGCCUAACACAUGCAAGUCGAACGGCAGCACAGUAAGAGCUUGCUCUUACGGGUGGCGAGUGGCGGACGGGUGAGGAAUACAUCGGAAUCUACUUUUUCGUGGGGGAUAACGUAGGGAAACUUACGCUAAUACCGCAUACGACCUACGGGUGAAAGCAGGGGAUCUUCGGACCUUGCGCGAUUGAAUGAGCCGAUGUCGGAUUAGCUAGUUGGCGGGGUAAAGGCCCACCAAGGCGACGAUCCGUAGCUGGUCUGAGAGGAUGACAAGCCACACUGGAACUGAGACACGGUCCAGACUCCUACGGGAGGCAGCAGUGGGGAAUAUUGGACAAUGGGCGCAAGCCUGAUCCAGCCAUACCGCGUGGGUGAAGAAGGCCUUCGGGUUGUAAAGCCCUUUUGUUGGGAAAGAAAAGCAGCAGGUUAAUACCCCGCUGUUCUGACGGUACCCAAAGAAUAAGCACCGGCUAACUUCGUG
RNAcentral lists this ribosomal RNA (492 nucleotides) under uncultured bacterium. RNAcentral describes it as "partial 16S ribosomal RNA". It matches the Rfam family "Bacterial small subunit ribosomal RNA", at positions 29 to 507 of the family's 1533-position model. The record is from RNAcentral.